UCCCCAGUAGCUCAGAUGGUAAAGCAUCUGCCUGCAAUGCAGGAGAUCUGGGUUCGAUCCCUGGCUUGGGAA
RNAcentral lists this transfer RNA (72 nucleotides) under Bos taurus (domestic cattle). It matches the Rfam family "tRNA". Rfam says of the family: Transfer RNA (tRNA) molecules are approximately 80 nucleotides in length. Lineage: Eukaryota; Metazoa; Chordata; Mammalia; Artiodactyla; Bovidae. The record is from Rfam by way of RNAcentral.